This 464-nucleotide ribosomal RNA is filed under the name Vreelandella stevensii. Its description in RNAcentral is "partial 16S ribosomal RNA". It matches the Rfam family "Bacterial small subunit ribosomal RNA", at positions 338 to 795 of the family's 1533-position model. The record is from RNAcentral. Lineage: Bacteria; Pseudomonadati; Pseudomonadota; Gammaproteobacteria; Oceanospirillales; Halomonadaceae.
CCUACGGGGAGCUGCAGUGGGGAAUAUUGGACAAUGGGCGAAAGCCUGAUCCAGCCAUGCCGCGUGUGUGAAGAAGGCCUUCGGGUUGUAAAGCACUUUCAGUGGGGAAGAAAGCCUUGGGGCUAAUACCCUCGAGGAAGGACAUCACCCACAGAAGAAGCACCGGCUAACUCCGUGCCAGCAGCCGCGGUAAUACGGAGGGUGCGAGCGUUAAUCGGAAUUACUGGGCGUAAAGCGCGCGUAGGCGGUCUGAUAAGCCGGUUGUGAAAGCCCCGGGCUCAACCUGGGAACGGCAUCCGGAACUGUCAGGCUAGAGUGCAGGAGAGGAAGGUAGAAUUCCCGGUGUAGCGGUGAAAUGCGUAGAGAUCGGGAGGAAUACCAGUGGCGAAGGCGGCCUUCUGGACUGACACUGACGCUGAGGUGCGAAAGCGUGGGUAGCAAACAGGAUUAGAUACCCCAUAGUC